RNAcentral lists this ribosomal RNA (492 nucleotides) under uncultured bacterium. RNAcentral's name for it is "partial 16S ribosomal RNA". It matches the Rfam family "Bacterial small subunit ribosomal RNA", at positions 29 to 507 of the family's 1533-position model. The record is from RNAcentral.
AGUGAACGCUGGCGGUAGGCCUAACACAUGCAAGUCGAACGGCAGCACAGUAAGAGCUUGCUCUUACGGGUGGCGAGUGGCGGACGGGUGAGGAAUACAUCGGAAUCUACUUUUUUGUGGGGGAUAACGUAGGGAAACUUACGCUAAUACCGCAUACGACCUACGGGUGAAAGCAGGGGAUCUUCGGACCUUGCGCGAUUGAAUGAGCCGAUGUCGGAUUAGCUAGUUGGCGGGGCAAAGGCCCACCAAGGCGACGAUCCGUAGCUGGUCUGAGAGGAUGAUCAGCCACACUGGAACUGAGACACGGUCCAGACUCCUACGGGAGGCAGCAGUGGGGAAUAUUGGACAAUGGGCGCAAGCCUGAUCCAGCCAUACCGCGUGGGUGAAGAAGGCCUUCGGGUUGUAAAGCCCUUUUGUUGGGAAAGAAAAGCAGCAGGUUAAUACCCCGCUGUUCUGACGGUACCCAAAGAAUAAGCACCGGCUAACUUCGUG